UAAGCAAACGCGUUAACGCGGCUGUUCGAGCAAUUCCUGCUAAAUUCGACGAGGCUCGUACCGAUCGCACUUAACCGAGUAAAAUAAUACGAGUCAGUCGACCCACAUUUCACCCAGAACUAAACGUCUGGCAAUGAGCUUCGCCCGUUUAGCGUCACGUUUCUGGAAAAAGCACGACAGGUUGAUGCAAUUACACCAUUGCACCUCGUCGCGUCGACUCAUCGCGUAAUAACUCAUUGUCCGUGUGUGCGUUGUUCCAAUUACGCUCCAUACGACUCCGUCCGCGCUACCACCGAUGCACAAAUGACGCUAGGUGUGUUCCGACUUCCGAUUCGUACAAUGCCCAUCGCGAAUCUCGUCGGAAGUCGGGACGAGGCGGAGUUGGGCAAACUCGAUUCGAAACCGAAGAAUGGAAAUUCCGCGUUUAUUCGCGAGAACGAAAACAAGCGGAGUCCUUCAGCGACUGACCUCCAAGAGCCCAAUAUGGAUUGCUCCAGGGUGAUCGGCUGAAAGACUGGUUCGCUUUUGUUGUCGCUGAUAGAUGUGGAUUUUCUUUGUUCGGCGGAAAAUUUGGCCCAGGUCUGGAGCAAGAUGGUGGACGGAAUCGUUUGAACCGUGCAUGUUGGCAACGAAAAGAUCCCUCGACCCCAAUCUCGAAUUCGCGUUCGUAUCUCGUAGGAUGGGGAGGACGCAAUCGGUUUCGCUUUCUUGUUUUUGCUCGAGGUCCCCAACGGCAAGAAUAGAAAACGUCGUUGUCCUCUUUCCAUUCUCGGCGGAAUUUGAAAAUGAGCCAGCGCGCGGUCUCGGCCAGCCACGCACUAGCUCUAUAAACUUUUGCUAAGUCCUAUCUCAUCGAUAUCCGAUAACAAUCGCAAAUACUGAAAUGUACGAACGAACAACGAGGAACUGAAAUUUCUCGAACAGAGAAGAAUCUCUGUUCGAGCUACGAAAUGGGGGAUCGCGGUGCAUGAGAAACGAGUAGCGCGAAAAAACGUACGCGAAUGACGUAAGACCAGAUAAGAUAUAAGGUAAUGUUCGGCGAGGUAAGAAUCUCGUGACGGCCGCCCUUAUAAGGAUGCAGCGCCCACGUGCGCGGCUCUCCGUUUACUGCGCGCUGGAUUUCGGACAAGGACUUCGCGCUUCGUCCAGAAUCUAGAUACUUUUUCAUUUCGUCGAACAACGGUCUGAAUUCUGAACGAAAAAAUGAAGACUCGACCAAGGCAAUGCAUUCCUUACAUGCUGUAGGAAAUAGCAAAUCUGUGCUUACAUAAAGUAUAAAUUGAUAUUCUACAGACUAAUUCUGUACUCUAUAUUGGAAUAAUUGUAUGUUCUAAAGGUUAUUGCUAAUAACUAGACUGCGGAUCUUUGUGCAUUCGUAGGAAAUUUGAAUGUGCAAGUACCUACAAAAUGCAAACGAUAUGCACGAAUAUAAAAAAAGAUUGAAAGUAAAGUUCACGUUAUAACAUUUGCAGAAUAAAAUAAAUUCUUACUUAGGUUCGAUUUUUGUAGGCACGUUCGCGAAGAUUUUAUUUUGCAUAAAGAUCCGCGGUCUACCAAUAACACUUGAAUAAAAGCUUCGGAAACAAACACCUCAACAACAGCUUGACUGAACCUUCUAUAUACCACUUUGUAUUUAAUCAAUUUUACCACCAACAAUAGAUCGAACCUUUUCCUUCGUAAUAUCAUAAAUAUCUUCUUAUUAUCAAUGUACUUUCGCGGAAAAUUCGUGGAGGGAAUGGCGAGUGCCCACGUGGCCCGUCAGGCACCCGCAGCGGAAUGCGUGUCGGCCACUUGUUGCGUCGAACGUUGCAUUACGUUCCUACCGCGUAAUAUCCACCCUCAGCCAUGAUUUUUCGUCUCGUCGAUGAUCGAACUAUUCAUCCAUCUGUCUAUUCUCGGCGCGUGCACGAGCAUACGCCGUGCCCGUGAAACGAGCAUGGCAAUCGCAUUAAUCGUCCGACGUGCAUGAAACGUUGUUAACGAGGAUACGGCAAUCGGCUCAGGAAUCAAGGGCAAUCGAAUUAUUUUCGCCUCCUCGAUAUUGGGUCAGCGAUCCGCUUUCUUCCCGUAGCCGAGGCCGCUUUUCCAAGAAAUCGUAACUUCCGAUAUCGAGGAUUUCGGAUCGUUGGACUUUUUUUCGAUCGAUCGUAAAAACACGAGGGCAAUAUCGACCGCGAGCUUUGGAGCCUUGUCAGCGUUGCUAGACUCUCCUUUCUUGGUGAGAAGUCUGACUCAUCCAAUACCGACGGCCGUAAACCGGCAAAUAAAAUCGCGUCGAUUAUCUUUCGAGAAACAAUGUUCCGACGGCUGAGUCUCUUCUAGGAAGGAUCGAAACACGUGCAACGCGCACCGCCAUUAAUCGAAGUUAGGGUUACCACCUGUACCUCUUAUGGAAGCGUUAAGAGGGGUUCGUGUGAGUCAGCGUUGGGCAAAUUUUAUUUUGAAUAAAGAAUCGGAAUUCCGGGCUUGUACGUAAUGUGCACGUGAAAUUUUGAUGAAAGGUACUUGCAAUUAUUCCUGAUAUCAAACUCGUUCGUUCUAGUCAUGAAACUUUGAUAUUCACUUCAAUGAAAAUAAACAGAUAUUAUACUUUAAAGAAUGAAGACUUCACCUGCUCCUCGCAAUAGUACAUCCCUCUUUCUUGUGACCACGGCCGGUAACCCUAACCGAAGUUCGAAGUUCGUUCGUCGUCCCCGUGCUCGACGAGACGCUCGAAAUGUCGCUUAAUUUUAGAUAUCGUUGCGUCCGUGAUUCCUCGCGAAACUUCCAACUUCGUCGCCCACCGACAUUUUCUCCGAGACGAAAAAAAGAGUAACCGUGCACGCGAACGCGCCCCGGUAUUGUCGAUAUCGAUCGUCUUGCGAUUGUAGCUGGCCUGCUAACGGACCGACGGAGUCUCGAACACGCGUGAAUAUGUUUCAUCCAAUUGAUCGAUUAUGCGAUGGAAUUAAAAAGUUAACCUUCAAGACUAAUCAACCUAGCAGCUUGUCCGAAAAGUCCAUGUCGAUGUUUGAAAUUGGCACGAACUUUCUGGACAACCUAAUAAUUUCUCGUUCGACCAUGGGGUUAAUUUAACUAACAAGAAAUUCAUAUCAAGAAAUCCUCCGAUUAGUAUUUAUAAAGUCUAGAAGUGUAAGUCUAAAAAGUCGAUUAAUAGGCCAACGGUCGGUAAAGUGUCGAGUAAAUACACGAAUAUUAAUUUAUCCACCUAG
Long non-coding RNA from Hylaeus anthracinus, 3212 nucleotides. RefSeq lists it as uncharacterized. NCBI's taxonomy places the organism in Eukaryota, Metazoa, Arthropoda, Insecta, Hymenoptera, Colletidae. The record is from RefSeq and is a predicted model, not a curated record. The transcript has 3 exons.